This 426-nucleotide ribosomal RNA is filed under the name uncultured prokaryote. RNAcentral describes it as "bacterial SSU rRNA". It matches the Rfam family "Bacterial small subunit ribosomal RNA", at positions 355 to 796 of the family's 1533-position model. The record is from RNAcentral.
UGGGGAAUUUUCCGCAAUGGGGGCAACCCUGACGGAGCAACGCCGCGUGCGGGAGGAAGGCCUUUGGGUUGUAAACCGCUUUUCUCAGGGAAGAAGCUCUGACGGUACCUGAGGAAUCAGCCUCGGCUAACUCCGUGCCAGCAGCCGCGGUAAUACGGAGGAUGCAAGCGUUAUCCGGAAUUAUUGGGCGUAAAGCGUCCGUAGGCGGUUUAUCAAGUCUGCCGUUAAAGACCACAGCUCAACUGUGGGACGGCGGUGGAAACUGAGGAACUGGAGUACGGUAGGGGUAGAGGGAAUUCCCAGUGUAGCGGUGAAAUGCGUAGAUAUUGGGAAGAACACCAGUGGCGAAGGCGCUCUACUGGGCCGUAACUGACGCUGAGGGACGAAAGCUAGGGGAGCGAAAGGGAUUAGAUACCCCGGUAGUCC